Helianthus annuus (common sunflower) is the source of this 647-nucleotide long non-coding RNA. RefSeq lists it as uncharacterized. NCBI's taxonomy places the organism in Eukaryota, Viridiplantae, Streptophyta, Magnoliopsida, Asterales, Asteraceae. The transcript is spliced from 3 exons. The record is from RefSeq and is a predicted model, not a curated record.
GAUGUUAAACACAGGGGGCGACCAGGUUUCUCCAUCAAACCCCAAAUCUCCCAAAAUUCACAAAUUGAAGCCUCUAAUCUGCUCCAAAUCAAGUUUCAAGCAUGAAUUAGUGAUCAUCUCGUUGCGGGGAUCAAAAGUUUGACGCGUAACAAGCUAGGUGGAAGCUUGAUGAGGGAACGGGUCAAACGAAUCAAGAAGGAAAGGAAAAAAACAUAGUUCGGACACGAGGUAAGUAUAUCUUACACUAGUCAUAUAUUUCAUAAUAUCCUUUUGUCGUAUUACGAAAAAGAUAAUUUAUGACGUAAGCCAUAGUAGGCUAAAAAGUGUUAAGAAAUGGAAUUAUAUGUAAGUGACCGCACGGUGUAAAUCAGAGCGAGUCAUAUAUAUAUAUGAGGUGGUAAUAAAUAUCAUCUCGCUAAUAUAAUCGGUCAAUUCGGCCAAACGGGUCAAAAGGUGAAAUUAUCACCCUUUGACAAUAUCGACUAAUGGGUUGUCAAGAUGCAUGAUUUUAGGAAAUAAAUAGCACAUGGAUGCUUACAUCGCUAUCGCUUAGCAGCCACUAAGGAAAGGUAUUGAAACGGGUCAAUAUAUUGAUCCGAGCCAGGUUCUUUUUGGAUGCCGGAAGACGAUCAAGCUCAUCGAAGGAC